AAAUCAACGCUGGCGGCGUGCCUAAACACAUGCAAGUCGAACGAGAAAGUGGAGCAAUCCAUGAGUAAAGUGGCGCACGGGUGAGUAACACGUGACUAACCUACCCUUGAGUGGGGGAUAACCUCGGGAAACCUUGGCUAAUACCGCAUAACACCUACGGGUCAAAGGAGCAAUUCGCUUAAGGAGGGGGUCGCGGCAGAUUAGUUAGUUGGUAGGGGUAAUGGCCUACCCAAGACAGUGAUCUGUAUCCGGCCUGAGAGGGCGCACGGACACACUGGAACUGAAACACGGUCCAGACUCCUACGGGAGGCAGCAGUGGGGAAUUUUGCGCAAUGGGGGAAACCCUGACGCAGCAACGCCGCGUGGAGGAUGAAGUCCCUUGGGACGUAAACUCCUUUCGACCGGGACGAUUAUGACGGUACCGGAAGAAGAAGCCCCGGCUAACUUCGUGCCAGCAGCCGCGGUAA
Molecule: ribosomal RNA, 467 nt
Filed under: uncultured bacterium
Lineage: Bacteria
Description: bacterial SSU rRNA
Rfam family: Bacterial small subunit ribosomal RNA
Source: RNAcentral